This 493-nucleotide ribosomal RNA is filed under the name uncultured bacterium. RNAcentral's name for it is "partial 16S ribosomal RNA". It matches the Rfam family "Bacterial small subunit ribosomal RNA", at positions 29 to 523 of the family's 1533-position model. The record is from RNAcentral.
AUCGAACGCUGGCGGCAUGCUUUACACACGCAAGUCGAACGGUAACAGGUUAAGCUGACGAGUGGCGAACGGGUGAGUAAUGCAUCGGAACGUGCCCGGUCGUGGGGGAUAACACUUCGAAAGAAGUGCUAAUACCGCAUACGAUCUAAGGAUGAAAGCGGGGGACCGUAAGGCCUCGCGCGAUCGGAGCGGCCGAUGUCAGAUUAGGUAGUUGGUGGGGUAGAGGCCUACCAAGCCGACGAUCUGUAGCUGGUCUGAGAGGACGACCAGCCACACUGGGAGUGAGACACGGCCCAGACUCCUACGGGAGGCAGCAGUGGGGAAUUUGGGACAAUGGGCGCAAGCCUGAUCCAGCAAUGCCGCGUGCAGGAAGAAGGCCUUCGGGUUGUAAACUGCUUUUGUACGGAGCGAAAAGGCUCUCUCUAAUACAGGGGGCUGAUGACGGUACCGUAAGAAUAAGCACCGGCUAACUACGUGCCAGCCGCCGCAGUAA